RNAcentral lists this long non-coding RNA (940 nucleotides) under Zonotrichia albicollis (white-throated sparrow). RNAcentral describes it as "lncRNA (ENSZALG00000017391.1)". Lineage: Eukaryota; Metazoa; Chordata; Aves; Passeriformes; Passerellidae. The record is from RNAcentral.
GAGAUUCCACUUGCCUGCACAUGCAACUAGGGCAGGGUAAACUGGAAAUUUUGUUGGUGAGGUGCAAUGUCCUUGUUCUGGGUAUCUGGUGGAGUAUAUUUGGCUGUUGACUAAAGAAUUGUUUUUAAAAAUAUGGUAGCACAAGACUUGAAGAGCAACUUUAACAUCUGACAUUGUCCCUAGCUGCUGCUCUGGGAAGUUUCUUAAUGUCAUUUUUAUUUCUGCUUCAAGUCUAGGUGACUGCAUCUGUCAGCAAACAUACCAGGAGAGACAGACAAACCUCUGGGAAUGGCACACCUCACAGGGCUCAAUCACUCUCAGCCUGUCCCACUUCACCCUCUGUGGCUUCACAGAUUUUGAAAAAUAUGGGUAAAGGAGAAGAAUCACUCAGCCUUCAGCAAAUUUUGGAUGGACCACAUCCAGAUCUGGCAUCCCUGUCUCCUGCUCAUCAGCAACCCUGGUGAAACCCCCAACAGCCUGGGCAGCAAGAUAGAAGUGCUGCCAGCCCCAGGAUUCCUGAAUCAUGACUCAACAGUGAGGAGAUACAGGAACCUAAAGAGCCAAGAGAGGAGCAACAUCUACUGCAGGAGGUCAGUAGUGAACAGCCAGGGGACGGGAGCACCCAAAAUGUGACGGAUUUCUACUAAGCAAGUGUGUGCCCAAACCACAGAUUUAUCCAAUUAAAAGCCAGGCUUGGAGCAGUUUAAGUUUAUUCUCUGCAUUAGGAAUUCCUGAUGUUUUACUAAACAGAUGUAAAGUUGCUUUAAAUACAUCACAUGCAAAGGGUGUGGUAUGGACCAUACACUGCAAACUAGAGCUCUAUGUUUGUUAACUCAAACUGGCAUGACCUCACUUGGCCCUUCAGCUACUCUCUAGGUAAAAGAAGGAAAAACAGGAAUCUUCCCAAGGAGGCAGGCUGAAGACCAGCUUAAUCUGUGCC